ACGCUGUAAACGUUGAUAACUAAAUAUUCCCGCGAGGGAGUGUUGAAGCUAACGCAUUAAGUUAUCCGCCUGGGGAGUACGGUCGCAAGACUGAAACUUAAAGGAAUUGACGGGGACCCGCACAAGCAGUGGAGCAUGUGGUUUAAUUCGACGCAACGCGAAGAACCUUACCAAGAUUUGACAUGGAGUUAAAGGCCUUAGAAAUAAGGAGAUAGUUAUAGCUCACACAGGUGGUGCAUGGUUGUCGUCAGCUCGUGUCGUGAGAUGUUGGGUUAAGUCCCGCAACGAGCGCAACCCUUGUCCUUAGUUGCCAUCAUUCAGUUGGGAACUCUAGGGAUACUGCCGAUGUAAGUCGGAGGAAGGUGGGGAUGACGUCAAAUCAUCAUGCCCUUUAUAUCUUGGGCGACACACGUGCUACAAUGGUCGGUACAAAGAGACGCGAUACCGCGAGGUGGAGCAAAUCUCAUAAAGCCGAUCUCAGUUCGGACUGGAGUCUGCAACUCGACUCCACGAAGCUGGAAUUGCUAGUAAUCGCGAAUCAGCCAUGUCGCGGUGAAUACGUUCCCGGGUCUUGUACACACCGCCCGUCAAACCAUGAGAGCUGGUAAUACUCGAAGUCGUUAUCCUANCCGUAAGGAGGGAGACGCCUAAGGUAGGACUGGUGAUUGGGGUU
Molecule: ribosomal RNA, 673 nt
Filed under: uncultured equine intestinal eubacterium sp. ML30
Lineage: Bacteria
Description: bacterial SSU rRNA
Rfam family: Bacterial small subunit ribosomal RNA
Source: RNAcentral